UACGGAGGGGGCUAGCGUUGUUCGGAAUUACUGGGCGUAAAGCGCACGUAGGCGGCUUUGUAAGUUAGAGGUGAAAGCCCGGGGCUCAACUCCGGAAUUGCCUUUAAGACUGCAUCGCUAGAAUUGUGGAGAGGUAAGUGGAAUUCCGAGUGUAGAGGUGAAAUUCGUAGAUAUUCGGAAGAACACCAGUGGCGAAGGCGACUACCUGGCCUGUUCUUGACGCUGAGGCGCGAAAGCUGGGGGAGCAAACGGG
RNAcentral lists this ribosomal RNA (253 nucleotides) under uncultured bacterium. RNAcentral's name for it is "partial 16S ribosomal RNA". It matches the Rfam family "Bacterial small subunit ribosomal RNA", at positions 524 to 776 of the family's 1533-position model. The record is from RNAcentral.